CUCACGCAGAGGCGCCGGGCAGGAGCGGGGCGCCCGCGCCGCCGCGUAGCCCCAGCGGCUGCCGGUUACGUGGAAGGGGCUCAAGCGCGGGAGCUUCCCUCAGCGGGGCUGGGGGUGCGCGGCGCGGGGGGAGCUCGGGGGCCCGGCCUGGGCCUCGCUGCGGCAGUGGCCGGGGGCGAAAACAGCGUUUCUCUGCGCUUUUGCCAGGCCUCGGAGCAGCGCGGGGCCGGGGGGGGGGGGGGUGCUGCUCCGGCGGCUCCCCUGUGUGAGAGAUGAGUGUGCAUAUUCGCUUUCAAAGCACUGCCAGGAGCCUCCUGGGUUAUCUAGCCUAAUCCCGUGUUAUUGCAGCAUAUGAGGCAAAUGAAGCAACAGAAGAGAAGUCAAAGUGAUCUAGAAAAGAAAGGUGAAAUCAUCCAGAACGUUCAGUCUAAAAGGCAAGCCACAGUUUUACCUAUGGAUGAGAUGUGGCAACAGUUGACGCUGUUAUUUUCAAAAUGAUCUGAGGGAGUUUGUACCAGUCACUCAGCCGCCUUUGUGUAGUGCUGGGCAUGAUUCACAGUGCUCCUGAGUCAUGCGUUAUGUUGAUUAAUUUGUGUGACUGAAAACAGUAGGCUAUUAUUAGGCACUGAAUUAACAAAUACUUGGAGUUUUUCUUAUUAAACAGACAAUCUUAAUCUCUGAAGGUAUCGUUUAAGUUUAUAUUCUGCUUUGUCCUUUGUACCUGAGGUACUACUGCAUAUGGUUUCCAGGUCCUUAGCAUAAAAAGGAGAAAAAGGUAUCUAUAAUCAGAAGGAAGACUGUAGUAAUUGUUGCUUUAUUGCUGCACAAAGUUUGGGACUAAAGUAGGUCUUUUCAAGUCUCCUUUUUUGAUCUGAAGCUUUAGCUGCCCUUUUCAGUAUCAGAAUUUAUCUACAUUUCUACUGUAGCUUGGCAGUAGAUUUCUGAUGUGGGUUGACUUAAAUUAAAGAUUAAUCAAAGAAGUAAAAUUUGAUUUAAAUAAUGCUAUCAUUUUUGCUCCUAUAUUGCAUUUGUAUGAUUUAUUUUCCAAAACAGAUUUUUACUUUAAUUGACUGAUGUUGUAAUUAGACCAUGUUUAUCUGCAAGCUGGGUUGUUUUUAUGCCAUGUUUGGUACAUAUGUGUCUCCAACAUACUUUUUAGUAAGUUAAAACAAAUCUAUGAAUCAUAUACUUUUCAAAUAUGUAUUUUACUUUGACAUCUUUCUUGUUAAACCUUGAUGGAAAUUAUAAUUGAGCUAGAUAGACAAAAACAGCUUUUUUUUACUGGCAGUUUAGUGGGCUGCAAACACAUUUCAAAGCUAAAGUGAUUUAGUUCAAAACAAAACAGUAAUUGAUUA
Molecule: long non-coding RNA, 1355 nt
Filed under: Apteryx owenii (little spotted kiwi)
Lineage: Eukaryota; Metazoa; Chordata; Aves; Apterygiformes; Apterygidae
Description: lncRNA (ENSAOWG00000001587.1)
Source: RNAcentral